RNAcentral lists this ribosomal RNA (75 nucleotides) under Anisoscelis alipes. RNAcentral describes it as "partial small subunit ribosomal RNA". The record is from RNAcentral. Lineage: Eukaryota; Metazoa; Arthropoda; Insecta; Hemiptera; Coreidae.
AAGUUGUUAUUUUUGAUUGAAGUUGAUUCUGCUUUUUAUUAAUUGGUUGUAUUGAGUAAUAUUAAAUAUAAGUUU